Molecule: ribosomal RNA, 612 nt
Filed under: Triticum aestivum (bread wheat)
Lineage: Eukaryota; Viridiplantae; Streptophyta; Magnoliopsida; Poales; Poaceae
Description: partial small subunit ribosomal RNA
Source: RNAcentral
AUGGCGCCUUUCGUCGGCCGCGAUGGUGCCACAUAUCUGGGCCAGCUUUUGGUCCCCGUACUUCCUGGCGUGCCUUGCAGUGUUGCCGUGAGAUAUGAAGGUUGCCCUCUCUUGGAAAGACGUGUAAAUGAAAAACUCAUAGGGAUUGGCCUCGACACAAGUGCUUACCAUUCCAGCACCAACCAAAUACUGUAUGGUCUUCUCCACCUGCCUCAUAUCAGCUCUCCCAGUGAGAUAAAUAUACUUGUUCAUGAGAUCGCCGUGUCGGUUCUCCUCGGCCGUCCAUGCCCUCGUCCAGACAGCCCAGCUGGUUGGGCUGCUGCCAGUCUCGUCGCGGACACCACCAUCAAGGAUAUUGAGCAUUUUCUGAUAGGUAGGGAGUGCUUCCUCAGUGACCAUGUCUCCAACCAGACAUACCAAGUAUUCAUCGGGGAUCUCCUCGGCUCGCUCCCUCAGCUCCUUGACUUCAUCAUAAAAUCUAUCCGAGGAAGGGUCUGGCAGGUAGUCCUGUGGCUGCCAGGAUCUUUCAACCGGCUUCAAGAGCACCAGAAUGUUGUCCUCUGCCCAACUGUUAAGCGAAUCAAAAAUCUCUCUCUUUUCAGGUGGCAAUGA